Molecule: ribosomal RNA, 465 nt
Filed under: uncultured bacterium
Lineage: Bacteria
Description: partial 16S ribosomal RNA
Rfam family: Bacterial small subunit ribosomal RNA
Source: RNAcentral
CCUACGGGAGGCAGCAGUGGGGAAUGUUGCGCAAUGGGCGAAAGCCUGACGCAGCGACGCCGCGUGAGGGAUGAAGGUCUUCGGAUCGUAAACCUCUGUCAGCAGGGAAGAACGGUCACUGUGCUAAUCAGCAGUGAAUUGACGGUACCUGCAAAGGAAGCACCGGCUAACUCCGUGCCAGCAGCCGCGGUAAUACGUAGGGGGCAAGCGUUAUCCGGAUUUACUGGGUGUAAAGGGGGCGCAGACGGCAAUGCAAGCCAGGAGUGAAAGCCCGGGGCCCAACCCCGGGACUGCUCUUGGAACUGCAUGGCUGGAGUACAGGAGGGGCAGGCGGAAUUCCUAGUGUAGCGGUGAAAUGCGUAGAUAUUAGGAGGAACACCGGUGGCGAAGGCGGCCUGCUGGACUGUGACUGACGUUGAGGCCCGAAGGCGUGGGGAGCAAACAGGAUUAGAUACCCCUGUAGUC